Octopus bimaculoides (California two-spot octopus) is the source of this 7948-nucleotide unclassified non-coding RNA. The record is from RefSeq and is a predicted model, not a curated record. NCBI's taxonomy places the organism in Eukaryota, Metazoa, Mollusca, Cephalopoda, Octopoda, Octopodidae.
UAUCCUGUUAUUACUUUUGUUGAUCAUAUCUAUUUCUGUCUGGUUUAAAGCUAAUUCUCUACAUGCUUAAUUCCUUAGGAAUAAGACAUGUGUAUUUGGUACCUGAGAUAUAUUUCAAAUGUAAUAUGAUGCCUUCUUCUUGUCUCUUCUAUGUAGUGUCUUUCGUUUCUUAUCAAAACUUUCUUUAUAGAUAUAGCAAUGAUCUAAAAAACUGGUGCUCCUAAUACCGGCCCGUUCGUUCAGCCCGAGAUCCUUGCUGAUGAUACUCAAGGUGUGCAUUUGCAAUGGCAUCGGAUAUACUAUCAGCCAUAUGAUCGAGAAGACUCACUCACUGGAUACACAUUAGAAAUACUUGAAGCUCCGUCAAAGGAGUGGAAAACUUUGGUAACUGGAUUAAAAGAUAAAAGACAUAGAAUUACAGAUUUAAAGCAAGGAGUGGAUUACUAUAUCAGAAUAAGGGGAGAAACUACAACUGGAGAACUUACUGACCCAUCACCCCCACUGCCCAUCUUACAGAAAAAAGUUCAAUCAACACCUCUUGAAGAACUAUGUGCACUAGUUGGCAUUGAAGGCAUAAAGAGAAGACGAGAGUUGAUUUGCAGAGAAACACCUGAAAGUACAACAAGUGAAGUAAGUUAUUCAGGCUACAGAACCAUGCUUGCUUCAGAAGAAAGCCUUGAUAGCCUGUUUGAGGCUCAAGCCACAAUUAACAAUACAACAAUUAAUUUUGAAGAAGAUCUAUCAGCUAUCAACAGGCCAUACUAUGACAUGCUCACUUGUAAAGUUACUCCUCGAAUGCCUAUUGAUCCACCUGAGUUAAUAGAUGAUGGCUCUGAUGUUGCAUGGUUAGUGUGGAAACCAGCUUCAGUGCCAACAACUACAGAAAUUGCUAUGACAAAGCCAAUUAGUUACAGCAUAGAAAUGAAAAGGCCUCCUUCUUCAGAAUGGGUCACCAUUAUUUCCAAUUUGCUUACUACAAAGAAUCAAGUUGCUCAGCUCCUGCCAGACCAGAAUUAUUCUUUUCGAGUACGAUGUCAUAAUGAAUUUGGAGCAGGAGAUGCUUCAUUACCUGUUAAUUUACACAGGGCAGCAACGAAUGGGCUCUCUGAGGAUUAUGAUCAUCCAGAGACUAAUGAUAAUGGUGAAGAAGAGAUAGAUUGGAUAAAUUUUGAUGGUGAAAAAGUUCCACCUCGUCUUCCAUUGGAUCGACCAUUGAUUCAGGAUGUAACCGAGAAUUCUUUGACACUUCGAUGGUUUAGUGCUAGAACUCCAGCUUAUGGAAAAUUAUCUCCGAUAAAAUACACAGUUGAAGUAAAAGAGCAAUGGGCAAAAGCUUGGCAUCCUCUCAUAACGGACUUAACUGAAAAUAAAUUUCACGUCAAAGAUAUCCACCCCCAACAAAGUUAUGCUUUCCGUGUUAAAGCUGAAAAUGAAUUUGGUGAAACUGAGCCUACUAUGACAGCAACCUUAAUUAGAAACACUCAGUCACCUACUCCAUCAACAUCAAUGGAGGAAGAGAAAGUUGAAAAGCUUCUUCUACCAUCUGUCACAUUUAAUGAUCCUAUGGUUAUGAUCAGUCCUCCUAGGGCUCCAAAGGGUCGUCCAAAAAUUACUGAAGAAUCUGGAAGCAGUCUUAUCUUGAGUUGGAAACCUGCCCGUGUUCCAUCUUAUGCUAAAAACUGUUGCAUUACAUAUGUCAUUGAAAUACGUGAACCACCAGCACUUCAAUGGAACUCUGUUGCUUCAGGGAUAACAGAGACCACCCAUACUUUAAGUGACCUUAAUUCUGAGCAAGAUUAUAUGUUCAGAGUCAGAGCAGCCAAUGAAUUUGGUACCAGUGAUCCUUCACUACCAGCAACUUUACACAGGGAAAUUGAUUAUUUGAAACAACUGCAAAGGCAGCUUUCAACUGAAAGUUCCAUUUUAAUGAGUCCAGAUCUACUCUCUCCAGAUGAUGCUAGUUCCUUUUUCGAUUCGGAAUUCAAAACCCCACAAACUCCAGAAUUCCUUACUCCAGAAGGAGUCCCUCAGUAUGCAACAGAAUGUAGUAAUGGAAAGAUUGAGUUGAAAAUACAAUCAUAUCCAGCUCCUAAAGCUUCUUGGUAUUUUAAGGAUAACAAGAUUGAACAUGGUGACCGAUACUCAUCUUCUGUUAAGGUAGAUGGAACUGUAACAUUGGAAUUUCCAAACAUGUCAUGGGAAGAUUGUGGUGAUUACAAGUGCUAUGUUGAAAAUGAAGUAGGCUUUGCCUGCCAGACAGUUACUCUACACUUAGCAGAACCACCAACAAUUACAAAACCACUCCAAGACAUCUUUUUAGUAAGUGGCAGCUGUGGUUCAUUAAAUUGUCACAUUGAUGGAAUUCCAUAUCCAUGUGUAUAUUGGAGUAAGAACAGACAACCUCUGAUAGAAACAUCUAAAGUGCAUGUCCAGUAUGAGUCACCUGGUCAAUGGAGUUUAGUCUUUGAUGAUGCUAACAUCAAUGAUGCUGGUACUUAUGAAUGCUUUGCUGAAAAUGAAGGAGGGAAAACAUUUACAAUGGCUGAGAUAGAAGUGUCAGAAUCUACACCAGUUCCCAGCUAUAUUUUGUUCUGUGAAUCUCGAGUUGAAAACUACUAUUAUAUUCUUGAAGAAAUUGGCAGAGGACGGCAUGGAAUUAUUCGAAGAGUUAUAGAGAAAUCAACUGGCAAGGAGUUUGCUGGCAAAUUCUUAACGCUCAGUGACCCAAAAGAGAAGGAGUUUUUCCAGACAGAACUUGAAUGUCUUAGAGUUCUAGAUCAUCCUCAUAUUAUGAAAAUCCAUGAGGCCUAUGAAACAGUGAAAUCAUAUGUAUUGAUUACAGAAUUAAUUCAUGGAACGGAACUGAUUGAACAUAUUCUUACAACAUACAAUUGGACUGAAACUGAUGCUGCAUACUACAUUCAUCAACUAUUGUUAGCACUUGAAGAAUUAAGAAUCCGUGGUGUGGCUCAUUUAGAUAUUAAGCCAGGAAAUAUAAUUUACGAAGAAAAAACAGACAAAAUCAAACUUAUCGAUUUUGGAUUUGCCAAAAAGAUUCACAAUGUACCACUAAAGCUAAAUUAUGGAACACCUGAGUUUGCAUCUCCUGAAGUUGUGUGCAGUGAAGUAAUAUCAGAAUCGACUGAUUUAUGGAGUUUAGGAGUACUGACUUACAUUUUAUUGAGUGGUAUUUCACCAUUCCAUUGUGAAUCUGUCUCUGAGACUCUCAAUAAAAUUGAGAGUUGUGAGUGGCAUUUUGAUGAGGAAGCUUUCAAACACAUUUCAGAUGAAGCUAAAGAUUUUAUUACCAGUCUUCUCAAGAAGGAACCACUAUUUCGUUUAGAAAUAGAUGAAUGUCUGAGUCAUCCCUGGAUUGAACUUGCUCAAAGAAAGGGUGAAGGUAAUAGAUUGGAAUUAAAGAAUCUGGAAAUGUUUCAUCAAAGAGAUUUAGCUAUGAGAAAAUCUAGUGCCAUUGUAAAAACUGCUCGAUUGGAAAGUUUGACAAAAAUGGAAGUUGUUAUACCAUCAGCUCCUACUCUCAAACCAGAAAUUGAUCCAGAAACUAAUAAAGUAAUUUACCCUGAUUCAAGAGAAUAUGGUGAAUUCUUAGACUCAGAAACACGCUUUGACUGGAAUAAACGAUUUGAACCAAGAAGUGAAUCUGAAUAUUCUUUGCGUACUAGGAUGUAUACUGAACUAAAAUCCCAAGAAGGUGAAACUGGAGAAAAUGAAAAUGAAAUAGGAGCAGAGGAAGAUGAAGAAAUUAGAAUAAAAGCAAGAACUAAGAGGCGUCUUUCUGAACUUGAUAUUGAACAUGACAAAAUAGUUCAGAUGGAAAAAGAAGUGGAAUGGGUAAUUGCUAGUUCAGAAAUACGAAAUGAACGUCAAAUUGCUCGUGAAAAAGAAGGCCAAGUUUAUGUGAUGGAAAGGAAACCAAGUGUAGGCAUGCCAAAAGAAGGUUAUCGUCCAAUUUUUCGUGCAAAACUAACAGAUCAAGUUGUACGUGAUGGGGAAAAUGUAACAUUUAUGUGUCUCAUCCGAGGCCGACCCAGUGUUAGUGUUGCCUGGUAUAAAGAUGAAGAGUAUCUUACACAGAAUAACCGCAUUAGAGUUUCACUUAGUGAAGAUGGAGUUUCUUCCUUGACUUUGAUUAGUGCUAAGUCAUAUGAUGUUGGUGUGUACAAAUGUGUUGCUCGGAAUAAAAUGGGACGAACAACAUGUCGAGCAAAACUUUUGAUUGGAGAUGUCACCAGCCGUCCACAGAGACCAAUUGCUGUUGCUGUUUCUGAUCGAGAAAUCUUAUUGGUUUGGGAUCCACCUCAGUAUGAUGGAGAAUCCCCAGUUAUAUUUUAUAGAGUCUAUUGCAAAAAAGCAGAGGAUUACCAAUGGAGGAAAAGUAUGAAAACUACUAAUGAAUGUGCUCUUAUUGGAAAUCUAACACCUGAAACUGACUAUGUAUUUAAAAUAUCUUGUCAGAAUAAAUUUGGUCUCAGUCCAUACAGCUAUGCUUCAAAUAUAAUCACCACAAAGAAAGAAAGUUGUAAAGUAUUAGAAUUACACAAACAUCCAGACUAUUCACAGAUGUUAUGCAUAAAUGCAGAUAUAAUAUCUUCAUUGAAUCGUUCCCAAGGUCCAGCAAAUGUUGUAGAAUAUUACAGGGAUAGAGACGAUGAAGUCAUGAAUUUUGAUCCUGCUGAACAAUAUACGUUCCUUGAACAAAUCACUAGGGGUGCAUUUCGUCAAUGGAAGCUGUGUCGAAGCAAAAGAACAGAAGAAUUGUACUAUGCCAAAAUAACUCCUUAUGAAACACUUACAGAUGAAAUUAUGAAUGAAUUCAAUCUUUUAGUAACAGUACAACAUGUAAAUGUCAUUACUGUGAUUGGAGCUUUCUUACUUAACAACAUUCACACAGUGAUCUUUGAGUAUGUUGACAGUGAGAAUAUCGUUGACCAUUUGUCAUCUAGAUGUAGCUACACUGAGGAAGAUGUGGCAAGAAUUAUCACUCAACUACUCGAUGCUUUACAAUAUCUGCAUUUCUUGUGUAUUAUUCAUCUGAACUUACAACCAGAAAACAUCUUGUUGGGAAGAAUGUGUCCUAUAUUGAAACUUAAGGAUUUCACCUUAGCCCAGAAGAUUGUAACACCAAUUGGAAAACAUGUCCCUCAGUGUGGAUCACCUGAAUUUAUGUCACCUGAAGUUGUGGUCCGAGAACCUGCUGGUGUUGCUGCUGAUGUCUGGGGAGUUGGUGUUAUUUCAACACUACUGCUCAGUGGAGAAACUCCUUUUGUUGGAAAUACUGAAGAAGAGACACUGGCUAAUAUUGCAUACAAUCGAUUUGAUGGAAGUAACAUGUAUGAAAAUAUUUCUAAAGAAGCUUUGAAAUUUAUUUCUAAGACAAUUAAAAGAAUUCCUGGAAAUCGCAUGACAGUUGAUGACUGUUUAGAACACAAGUGGUUACAACUAUCAAGUGAUAUGACAAAAAUGCGAAAAGAAAAUGUAUUUAUGAGUUUGAAAUUAAGAGAAUUUGCCAAACAAUAUGAAGAGCAAAGAGGAUCUUCUUCCCGUCUGAGUCCAAUUGCCUCUGGUUUGAACGAUAUACCUGAGAGGAAAUUCAAACUACCAACAGAUAGUGAGAUUAAAGAAAAUAAAAAAUAUGGCUGGACUAGUGAGUUAUAUGAGGCAAAAUCAAAGGAGAAAACUUAUGAUAAAUAUGCAACUGCAAAUUAUGCUAAAUCUCUUUCUAGAAAUUUGAAUUCUCUUAGUAGUACUUCUGAAACAGAUAUGGAUUUAAAUUCGAAUUGGAAAUCUAAAUACAGUCAGCACCAAUCAUACACAGAUACAAAGAUGUCUGGUUAUAAACAAAGAAGUACUGAAGAUUUCAGCUAUAAAAAGGAAAUUGAUUUGCCAAGGCAACAAAGAACUAUUGAUAAUUUACGACAAAAUAAAACUUCUGAUAGUUUAAGGCAAAAUAAAACUACUGAUAGUUUAAGGCAAAAUAAAACUACUGAUAGUUUAAGGCAAAAUAAAAGUUUCACUGAUGACUUACCAAUAUAUUCAGCUAAACCAAGAGAAAAUAUUAUUGGAAGUCAGAAAAGCAGUAAAACUUCUAUGGCUAUGUCAAAAGAUACUUCUUCAAUGCAAAAAUCCCAAGCAACUGACUAUAAGUCACUAUUAGAAGAGAGUAGAGCUGCUGUGCAAGAAAGUCGAAAGUAUAUUGGAGCUUCAGCUAAAUCUGCUCUGGCUGGUACAUCUGAAAGAAUGAAAUAUAGUUCUAGCUUAUCAACUGACGAAGGGUUAGGAAUUAAAGAGGAGAGUAGGAAAUUAGCAACUGCCUCUAAAACUGACAUGAGGAAAGAAUUGAGUAUUGAUAAUGACUACUAUAUGACUUCAGAAAUGAAAGGGCUGAAUAAAUCCUACAAAUCAGUUACCAAGGAGACCUUACCAUCGAGUGACCUAUCUGCAUCUAUUACUAAAAAAAUGUCAAAUUCGAUUUCAUCAUCAAGAGAAGCUAGUUUUGAGGUGGAUGAAACAAAAGAUAUACUUUCUUCCAUUAGAGGAAAGCAGUCUUCAUUUGAUUUGAAAGAAAGUACAUUAACAAGAGAGAAGCAGGAAUCUUUUAGCACUACAAUAGAAUCUAAGUCAUUGAUGAAAGAAAAAAAUCUUUAUUCAGUUACUAACGAAACUAAUUUGCUUUCUGAAAAAGCUCAGCCCAUAGUUGAUAGAGAAAAACCAUUUCACACAGCUACUAUGGAAUCUUCAGCAAUGAUGCAAGAAAGGCAAGCAUAUUCAAGUAAGGAUGAAAGUGCUUUUAUGUCACAUGGUGCACAGUUUCAAACAGGUGCAAUAGAAACCAAAUCAAUGAGACAAGAAAUUCAAACAGUCACUGCUUCUAAAGAAUACAACUCACAAUUACAAGAGCAAAAACAAUACUCAAAUGUAGCUUCAAUUUCGGAUCAGUCAGCUGUUACAAAAACAGCUUCUUCCAGUUCUUUCCAGAACAGUAACAUAGCAAGUUCAAAUAGCAGAGAACAUCAUCUAAUGGCAAACGCAAGUGAAACAGUGGAGACUAUGUCAAGAAUGAGCAACCAAGAAGUAAAAAUAUCUUCAAAUGCAGAGUCUUACACUGGAGAAGAGAUGACUGUGUCACAAACAGAGAAUAUUAUCCAGAAGAAAUAGUCUUGUACUAAUUGAUUUAAUAUACCAGUGUUUUUAAAAAGUCAGAUGGAAUUCAUGGAGGCAGAUUUUCUACAGCCAACUAUCUGUCCUGCUGCCAACCCUCACUUGUUUCCAAGAUUUACCCUUAAACCUCUUGUACACCUAUUGUUGUUGUUUAGUCCCAAGUCAACCCAGAUUGAACAGAUCUAUAAUGAAAGGCAUUCCAGCCAUGAACAUCCUGUCUUUUUAGGGAUAUCUUCCAUUGUAACUGAAAAUACUGAUUAAUAUUGGUGAUGAAUACUGCAAUAUUUAUUGGUUUCAUUGCCAAGAUUAUCAGAUUAAACACACAAUAUAAUAAAAAAAUUGUUCCCUUUUCCUCCUUAAAAGUCAUAUUUCUAUAUAGGAUUAUAUCCAAAUGUGCUUUAAUUAUUCAUUUAUAAUCUUACAUUUUAUGGAUUUUUAUUGUUUCAUUUACAGUUAGAAUGUAAUUAACUCUCAAGCUAAAAUUGUGGAAACUUUCUGUGUGAUGUUUUUAGCUGAAAGUAUAUCUUAGUGUUUGUUUAUCCCAGAAGAUAAUAGAUAAUUUAUAAACCAAUGCUUAGAAUUAAUGCAACUGAAAGUUUUAUUGAUUUUUCAAUAUUUGUUUCUGGAUGAAAGAAACUGUAAAUGAUACAGAAAAGAAAAGAAAAGAAAAGAAAAAAGAAGGAAUUUUUAUUGUUAUUGUUGUUGUUUUUGUUGUUGAUGUUGUUGAUGAUGAAGUCUUAAAUUUCUCUGAUUAAACAUUUGUCUUGCU